Molecule: long non-coding RNA, 393 nt
Organism: Cloeon dipterum
Lineage: Eukaryota; Metazoa; Arthropoda; Insecta; Ephemeroptera; Baetidae
Exons: 3
Source: RefSeq, a predicted model, not a curated record
AGAGACUUAGCUGCUAAUUACAAUCACCAUGUUAGUGCUGCAGUCACAGAAGCAGAUGAAGUAUUCACUUGGGGUGAAUUCAAUGGCCAAAAACACCUCAUUCCGACAAAAACCUCAUUCACAACACUGGAUGAAGUUUUUGCGAAAAUUCCAAAUUACGCCCUUACAUUUCGACCAUUGCGUACAAAUCUUGAUGAUGAGCCAACAGAUGAAAGGAACGCCACAAACGAAUUGCCGGAAUGGUUCAAAAAAUCGUUUGGUGACGUCGAAUCUGCUGACGUUGUUUUUGUGGUCGAGGGAAAGAAAAUCCACGCGCACAAAAAUAUUUUGAUAAUGCGUUGCACCGUCUUCAGGACCAUGUUCUUGGGCAAUUGGAAAGAAAGCAACGAAAGG